AUGAGCGGAAGGCAGUCAUCAAUGACCUUGGACCUUGAAUCUGCUCCUCUGCUCCUCAAGGACAUCAUGGCACUGAAAACAAUGGAUACACUCAAGAAGAGAGCCAAGGAAAUGGCUAGGUAUGUGAAGGGUCAUCAAGGUAUAGCAGCAAUCUACCUCACCAAGCAAAGUGAGAUGAAUAAGAGCACCACAUUGAAGCUGCCCAGCAACACCCGUUGGGGUGGUGUUGUCAUGUUUGACAGUCUCCUGGAGGGGAAGGGGUCUCUCCAAGAAUUGGCGAUAUCACAGUCUGUAGAUAUAGACAGCCCCAUCAAGAGGAUCCUCCUGGAUGAUGCAUUUUUGGAGAGAGUGGUAUGCAGCCUGAAACUCCUGAAACAUACAGCAGUAGUCAUUGCAUGGAUUGAGGGAGACAAUGCCAUUCGGUCUGAUGUUCAGACUCUGCUUGCAGAUGUAAAAGAAGAAAUUCGUACUGCCCUGCCCACUUCACUGUUGCUCCAAGCAGAGGAAACUGCAAUUCUGAAAUACAUUAAAAAGCAUAAAGACUUCUACCUGAAGCCCAUACACACCGCAGCAUACAUGUUGGACACUGAGUAUGCUGGCAAGAGCAUCCUGUCUGGUGCAGAGAUCAACAAGGCCUAUGGUGUCAUCACUAUCGUGUCUCACCACCUUGGCCUGGAUGAGGGCAAUGUUUUUGGCAGUCUGGCGAAGUACACUUCCAAGCAAGGGCAUUGGGAAGGAGAUGCAAUAUACCAACAAAUCUCAUCAGCCACCUGGUGGAAAGGACUUUGUGGAGCUGAGGCUCUUUCCCCUGUUGCCUCAAUCAUCCUCCAAAUCCCACCAACAUCAGCCACCUCAGAGCCCAACUGGUCCUUGUUUGGGAACACACACACCAAAGCACACAACAAGCUGACCAAUACAAGGGUUGAAAAAUUGGUGGCCAUCUGGGCAAAUUUGAGGCAUUUCGAGCCAGACAAUGAGCCAUCCUCAACAAGAUUGGAAUGA
This 1002-nucleotide long non-coding RNA is filed under the name Oncorhynchus kisutch (coho salmon). Its description in RNAcentral is "lncRNA (ENSOKIG00005026986.1)". The record is from RNAcentral. Lineage: Eukaryota; Metazoa; Chordata; Actinopteri; Salmoniformes; Salmonidae.